Long non-coding RNA from Mytilus californianus (California mussel), 1058 nucleotides. RefSeq lists it as uncharacterized. NCBI's taxonomy places the organism in Eukaryota, Metazoa, Mollusca, Bivalvia, Mytilida, Mytilidae. The transcript has 2 exons. The record is from RefSeq and is a predicted model, not a curated record.
UAUUAACCAUUACCUAGAACGCUGUAUCAAUUAGUUUACCGAUAUCGAGAGAAAGCGAUUAGUUCUGCAAAUAGUUGCACUACAUUUUUCAGUGGGAGUUUACAAAUUUGAAAAGAAACAGUAUAACACAAUUCAAACGGUUUACCUAUAAGAUGCAGAUUCAACAAAUUCAAGAUAUACAACUUCAUCCUGGUAAAGCAAAUUUUGAUAUCAAAGGUUGCACACUAAAUGGCGACAAACUUCUAUUUACCGACAAAGGUAAUAGUCGGAUAAUAAUACACAAUGCAACAGGCCGACACGUUGAAGACAUUCCUCUUUCAGCAGAACCAUUCGAUAUUACAACCAUAGAUGCUGAUAGUGUAGCCGUCACUUUUGGUAGGAAGCAGUAUUUUGAAAUUAUAAAUAUCAAUACCAAAGCCGUUACUAAAAUACCAGCUGACGGAAACAGCUGGGGAAUUACGUGUGAGAAUGGAAAUUUGUACAUGAUCGUCGACGGCCAUGGAAUCAAUGUCGCCAUUAUGACGCCAUCAGGGGAACCUAUAAAAAAGAUACCGGUCAGCACAGACUUUGACCAAACAGAAUAUAUGGCAGUUAUCGGAAACAGCAUUUUUUUCACAGUAUUUAUCCCUAAAAACCUUGUAUGCAUGGAUAUACAUGGUGCUAUCCAAUGGCAGUUUAAAAAGAGCAUUUUUAACCAGCCAAGGGGAAUAACUACUGACACUCUUGGAAACAUUUUUGUCGCAGGAUUUGCUUCACAUAACGUGAUUGCUGUACAGAAAAGUGGAAGCGAGGGUAGUGAGAUUCUCAAUAAGAAUGAGGGAUUAGACUAUCCCACAUCCAUUUAUUGUGACAAGAUGAAUAACAGGUUGCUAGUUAGUAAUUUGAACAACGGACUUGCAUAUUUGUUCAACAUAGUUUAUAACUAGAACAUGUAAUAUAAAUAAUGAGCUUCCUGUAUAGCUGACUGGAUGUCUUUGUAUUGUUUUCAUUUUAAUUUUAUGUAUUUAAAUGUAUAUUGUUGUCUUUGUUUUAUAAUUAACAAUUUUCAAUUAAUUGGA